UAAGCGACUCCAAACAGGUCCAGAGUAGAGAUGACUGAUGCCCCAGACACCAAACUCGUAGUUGAUUAUUUCCAUCAGCCCUAACACAGCCGCUUCCAGCGCCGAUUGUGAAGAGGUUAAACUCCUAGUUGAUUAUUUCCAUCAGCCCUAACACCGCAGCUGCCAGCGCCGAUUGUGAAGAGGUCAAAAUCAUACUGGCGAGGCUCGGCGCCAUUGUUGGACUCGGCUCGAGUAUUGAAACGACGGGUGAAACUACUAGAAUUAGCACUAGAAAAAGUUAGCGAUUGAGGAAGAAAAAGAAGUGCCGUUAGCGAUUGAGGAAGAAAAAGAGGCAUGGGCGGUGUAUUUAUGGUGGUGCUGGUGGAGUUUGUUAGGGCAGUUGUUGGCGUAGACGAAAAAGUUACAGCAAAGAGAGUUCUGUGGUGGAGGUGCCGGAUGAGUAAGUGGAGGAGGAGGUGAUGGCAGAUGAGGAGCCUCUCUCUCUAAACCCCCGAGGAUGCACUCCAGUUACGAUUUUUU
This 519-nucleotide long non-coding RNA is filed under the name Panax ginseng (ginseng). RNAcentral describes it as "long non-coding RNA (PGIN_LNC005968)". Lineage: Eukaryota; Viridiplantae; Streptophyta; Magnoliopsida; Apiales; Araliaceae. The record is from RNAcentral.